CGGUAAUACGUAGGGUGCGAGCGUUAAUCGGAAUUACUGGGCGUAAAGCGUGCGCAGGCGGAUUGUUAAGCAAGAUGUGAAAUCCCCGGGCUUAACCUGGGAAUGGCAUUUUGAACUGGCAGUCUAGAGUGCGUCAGAGGGGGGUGGAAUUCCACGUGUAGCAGUGAAAUGCGUAGAUAUGUGGAGGAACACCAAUGGCGAAGGCAGCCCCCUGGGAUGACACUGACGCUCAUGUACGAAAGCGUGGGUAGCAAACAGGAUUAGAUACCCUGGUAGUCCACGCCCUAAACGAUGUCAACUGGUUGUUGGGGGAGUGAAAUCCCUUAGUAACGAAGCUAACGCGUGAAGUUGACCGCCUGGGGAGUACGGUCGCAAGAUUAAA
This 382-nucleotide ribosomal RNA is filed under the name uncultured bacterium. RNAcentral describes it as "bacterial SSU rRNA". It matches the Rfam family "Bacterial small subunit ribosomal RNA", at positions 518 to 898 of the family's 1533-position model. The record is from RNAcentral.